This is a long non-coding RNA of Sander lucioperca (pikeperch), 2044 nucleotides long. RefSeq lists it as uncharacterized. NCBI's taxonomy places the organism in Eukaryota, Metazoa, Chordata, Actinopteri, Perciformes, Percidae. The record is from RefSeq and is a predicted model, not a curated record. The transcript has 2 exons.
ACAAAUGUUUUUUGAUAUGGGUAUAAGCAACAAAGACACACAGGCUGCUCUAAUCUGACAGAUUCAUAUUGCACUGCCCUCAAGAGGGGUAAAGUACAGACUGUGCACGUUAAAGACUGGUCAGAGGACACUUGCUUGGCUCUCCAGGGGUGUCUGGAUUGCACAGAGUGGAAUAUGUUCAGGGAAUCCAGCUCUGAUAUUGAUGAACUGACAGAUGUUAUCUGCAAGGCAAGGCAAGGGCAAGGCAAUUUUAUUUAUAUAGCACAUUUCAGCACAAGGCAACUCAAAGUGCUUUAAAUAAAUCAUUAAACAUUGAAAAGCAAAGAGCAAAAUAGUGCAGUUGUAUAUCAUACUGUGAGAGUACUGUUAUUCCAGCUAAGGUUAUUAAAGUAUAUCCAAACAGUAAACCAUGGGUUACAAAGUCCCUGAAGAUUUUAUUGCAUGACAAGAAUAGGGCUUUUAAGGAAGGAAAUGUACAGAUACUACACAAGCUUCAAAAGGACAUUAAAAGGGAAAUUAGGGCAGGUAAACUUAAGUACAAAGAUACAAUAGAAACACAGCUCAGGAUGACCAACCUGGGCUCUGCCUGGGACAGUAUGAAGACAAUUGUGGGGCUCAAGGGAGGGGGGAGGAGUAGGCUUGAACUGAACAGCUACAAGUCUGACUCACUGCUGGCACAGGACCUUAACAGGUUUUAUGUCAGAUUUAACACUCAUGACUUCAGCAAUAAACAUUCUGAACUCAGAAACAGUCUUCUGGCAUCUCCCCCAUUUAUCCCUUCAUUUAAUGUGGAAUGUAGUGUCAUCAACUGUUUUAAACACUGUAGACCUAAGAAAAGUCCAGGCCCAGAUAAUAUUAGCAGCCACCUGCUGAAAGUGUGUGCAGAGCAACUAGGUCCAGUAUUCUAUGAUAUAUUCACCCUGUCACUCUCCCAGCAGAGAGUGCCAUCUCUAUGGAAACAGUCUGUGGUGGCCUGUUGCCCUGACCUCCUUGGUCAUGAAAUCCUUAGAAAAACUUAAAAAAAAGUAGAGCUUCUAGCUAAGGCAGAACUCCUUUUAGAUCCAUUUCAGUUUGCCUACAGGGCCAAGAGGGGGGGUACAAGAUGCCACUAUCACCUUACUCAACCUCUUAUAUAAGCAUCUAGAGGGGAGUGGGAAUCAUGCUAGGCUACUCUUUGUUGAUUUAUCAUCUGCUUUCAAUACCAUACAACCUCAUUUUAACCUUGAUCCGAGCUUAGUAGGCUGGAUACUGGAUUUCCUCACUCGGAGAUGUCAGAGGGUGAGGGUGAACAGUGAGCUUUCCAGUGAGUUAAUAUCAUCCACUGGAUCCCCACAGGGAUGUGUCCUGUCCCCUCUGUUGUACAUCCUAUAUACCAAUAGGCAUGACAAUAGGCACAUUAUCAAGUUUGCAGACGACUCCGUUAUUGUCAGCCUUCUUAGUGCACAUGAAAAUGACCAUGGUCCAGCGAUUGAUGAUUUUGUUGCCUGGUGUGAGAAUGCUUUCCUUCAUCUAAACAUUACAAAAACUAAGGAUAUGUCCAUUGAUCUCAGACGUCAUCCCAAUGUCCCCUGUAGUAGUAUUAUCAAGGGCCAAGACAUAGACAUGGUGCCAUAUUACAAAUAUCUGGGCACCUUGAUGACAACCGGCUUAAAUUUGAACUGAACACUGCUUCUGUGUGCAAGAGAGGCCAACAAAGACUCUUUACACUCAGGAAACUUGCUAAAUUCCAGGUGGACAAAACAUUAAUGACUUUGUUCUACAGAACUUUUAUUGAGUCUGGCCUGACAUUUUCUGUCAUCUGCUGGUAUGGCAACCUCACCAUCAAGGAUAAAAAUGCGCUUUUAAAAAUUGUGAAUGUGGCCAGCAAGAUAGUGGGUGUGAAGUUCAGUAGCCUUACUGACAUUUUUAACAAACAGAUUUAAAAAAAAAAAAAAAAAAAGCCAUGUCUAUUUGCAAGGACAACACUCACCCUCUGUACGGAGAAUACAUGUUAUUACCAUCUGGCUUACGUUUUAGCACCCCCUUGGCUCUUAAACAGAGAUAC